This 147-nucleotide ribosomal RNA is filed under the name Bacillus thuringiensis serovar shandongiensis. RNAcentral's name for it is "partial 16S ribosomal RNA". It matches the Rfam family "Bacterial small subunit ribosomal RNA", at positions 1 to 140 of the family's 1533-position model. The record is from RNAcentral. Lineage: Bacteria; Bacillati; Bacillota; Bacilli; Caryophanales; Bacillaceae.
CUUUAUUGGAGAGUUUGAUCCUGGCUCAGGAUGAACGCUGGCGGCGUGCCUAAUACAUGCAAGUCGAGCGAAUGGAUUGAGAGCUUGCUCUCAAGAAGUUAGCGGCGGACGGGUGAGUAACACGUGGGUAACCUGCCCAUAAGACUG